GAAAAGAUCACAACUUACAAUUAUUGGCAAGUACUUAUCAAAUGCAGCUUCCUGCUUCGGCAACUUAUCGGUCUCAACUGGUCCUUUAGGCUGUGGAAUAUUCAUUCACUAUCUAGUAUUUUUGCACUCAUUUUACAUAGUUCCUAGACAUGAUAAGAUCUCAUACUAUCAGUUUUCUUCAACAAACAAUUACUGCAGCAGUAGACAUGAUAUUAAUUUCACCAAGAAUGGAUACAACAGUACUCAUUCUUCAACGCACAUUUACAUUCCAUCCCAAGCUAGUUAUCUGAGAAUUUUCGAUGCAAAUAUGAACCUAUUUACACUUGAUGUUUUGGACAGCUUGGAAAAAAUCCCAGACUGUAUGGAGAUGUGUCAUUUUCCAGUGGUGUUAGCAUUUUACAAUGUUCAUUCUGGAUAUGAUAGUUCACUAUAUGGAAGGAGUUGCAGUGGUUGUUCUGAACUAUGGGCGUUCAACUUUUACAUAGCUACUUGGUUGAUGGAAAGUACAGAAUCCAAAACUGGUUUCACGCAAGGAAAGAUCAAAGUUAGAUGCUCAACACAGCUGUUGUUAUUCCUGUUCUUCACCACUAUAAUAACUAUGUCCGAACUAUUAUUUUGUAUUUGUUGCGGAUUAACACACACCUACUUAGUGCUUUGUAGGUGUUACGUGGAGUUGUUUGCAUUGACUCUGCCACUGCAAGUAUGCUCUUACGAAACUUCAAAAGAUCAACAUUCAACAAAAAUAUCAUGAUGCACUGUUCCCACACAACACCUUACUAUUACUGGUUUAAUUUGGAAGAAGCUUCUAUUGAGGAGACUUACUAUACUUGAUUCUUUAGGACUGUAUCCUUUAUGUUUGGAGAUGUUUCGACAUUUAGUGGUAUUAGCAUUACAUAAUGCUCAAUCUGUGGUUGCCGCAUCACCAGAUGGGAAGAUAUAAUUCAAUUUUCCCAACUUUUGGUUUCCCCUACUACUGUGUUGCUGCCAACACAGUCAUUUCCCAGUGAUUCAAUUGUCCUGUCCUUGGCUGGUUUAUUGUUCAAAAUUUACCGCUUCAAACUUGAUCUCAACCAAAGAAAAAUCAAAUGCAUGUUUUCUGUAUCAGCAAUGUUGUUGGAGUUCUUCAGCCCCAAAAUGAAGAUGUCCAAUCUGCUUUGCUUUACAACUAGUGGAUUAAAACAUACCUACUUCAUUGGAUUACAACAAAUGGCACCCGGUGAGAGCUUUGUAGGUGCUACAAGGAAUUGUUUGCAACUUGUGUGCGAAUUCAUUAUCAUCGACAAUAGUUGGAUGUUUCAAAAUAGUAGCUUAGUACUUUUCAUUUAUCUUUAUGCUACUGCUACAUUGUAUUUGGUAGGAAUAACCAUUGGCUUUCUUUGUUUGAUUUAUUUCUCUUUUACUUGAACAUUGUGUAACUUUUUCCCAGUUUAGGAAUUAUUAUAUAUAACAGCUACUAGGUGAAUAACUUAGUAGUAUAUUUGCUUUUAAAAUAAACUACCCUUCCAACCCCUAUUUUUUAAAAUUUUCUUUUAGUAUUAGGCUUGGGCCAGAGGCCAACAGGCCCAAAAUCAAGGUCUAGCCCACCAAUCCUUUCUCAACUCACCCCCUAAUCUAGUGAGUCUGCCAAGACCAGGUCCAAUUCCAAACAAAUCCCAAGCGGCCAAACAAACUAGAUGUCGAAAUUCAAAAUUGAAAACUAAGUAAACCACUUUGAAAUUGAAACAAAUUCUAGAACUACAAUCUAUACUAGCAUAUGCAAAUAAUUGAGCAAUUAAAGUUACCUUAAAACUUGCAAUUACUAAUUGAAAUUACAGCAUGUAUUUAAUUAUCAAGCCACCUAAACACUAAUUGAUUCCAAAUUAUUGAUUAAACAUGCUCGGACAGAAUUCAUCGAGACACAUCAAUUAGAAAGAAUUAUACAGAAGGGGAGGAGUGUAUACCAAAUCUGCUAUACACCCGAUCAGCGUCAAAGAAAUGCGGUGAUUGUAAUGAAUUCUGGUGACGAUCAAUAGAACUCCGGUGAGCAAAGAGGAUUGUCACAUGAGCAUUGGCCGACAAAUGUUUAUGCGAUCCAGUGCUACAUGUAACAAUGCUCAUUACAAGCCGAAUUGAAGAAGAAAAGAUGAAGUUUGGGGAAGUUCGGCCUGUCUACGACGGUCAACGAUGUUUCGGCCACCGAAAAAUGGUAAAAAAAUGACCUCAAACGAAAGGUCUUUCCGAGACGUAUCAUUUGAUGUAAAAUUUAGGUAAAGAGGAGGUCGGGUUGAUAGUAAUUUAGCAAAGGGGCAAAAAAGUUGGGACUUUUAUUCCUAGGUCUUCUAAUCGGCAGGAUUGGGAGGUUUUUUGGGGGGAAAUGAUGUUGGAUUAAGGGUGAGGAGGUGGUGAGGAGUAUUUGAUAAUUUUUUGGGUGGAUUAGUGUUGAUCCGCCGCCGGAUGGCGAUUUUCGGGUAGUGGAAGACGGCGAAGUAAGGUGGCUAAUUUGAGAGAAUGAGAGAAUUGGGGGCAUCUAGGGUUUGGCAUAGUGGGGGGGCUG
RNAcentral lists this long non-coding RNA (2533 nucleotides) under Nicotiana tabacum (common tobacco). RNAcentral describes it as "long non-coding RNA (NTAB_LNC002182)". Lineage: Eukaryota; Viridiplantae; Streptophyta; Magnoliopsida; Solanales; Solanaceae. The record is from RNAcentral.